GAUGAACGCUAGCGACAGGCUUAACGCAUGCAAGUCGAACGAAGCAAUUGAAGAGUUUACUUGGAGAUUGACUGAGUGGCGGACGGGUGAGUAACGCGUGAACAAUCUACCUAUCAGAGGGGGACAACACUUAGAAAUAGGUGCUAAUACCGCAUGAGACCACAGCACCGCAUGGUGCAGGGGUAAAACUCCGGGGGUAUGAGAUGGACCCGCGUCUGAUUAGGUAGUUGGUGGGGUAACGGCCUACCAAGCCGACGAUCAGUAGCCGACCUGAGAGGGUGACCGGCCACAUUGGGACUGAGACACGGCCCAAACUCCUACGGGAGGCAGCAGUGGGGAAUAUUGCACAAUGGGGGAAACCCUGAUGCAGCGACGCCGCGUGAGUGAUGAAGUAUUUCGGUAUGUAAAGCUCUAUCAGCAGGGAAGAAAAUGACGGUACCUGACUAAGAAGCACCGGCUAACUCCGUGCCAGCCGCCGCGGUAA
Molecule: ribosomal RNA, 484 nt
Filed under: uncultured bacterium
Lineage: Bacteria
Description: partial 16S ribosomal RNA
Rfam family: Bacterial small subunit ribosomal RNA
Source: RNAcentral